This 65-nucleotide transfer RNA is filed under the name Succinea erythrophana. RNAcentral's name for it is "tRNA-Ala". Lineage: Eukaryota; Metazoa; Mollusca; Gastropoda; Stylommatophora; Succineidae. The record is from RNAcentral.
GGGAAAAUACUUUAUUUAUAGAAGAAUUAGUUUGCAAUUAAUAAGAGAAUUUUUUUCUUUUUCCA